This 3048-nucleotide ribosomal RNA is filed under the name Cutibacterium acnes. The record is from RNAcentral. Lineage: Bacteria; Bacillati; Actinomycetota; Actinomycetes; Propionibacteriales; Propionibacteriaceae.
UUUGAGCCCUUGGACGGCGAUGUGGCCGCCUCCGGUUUGGAUGAGGCUUGCUCCAACCGCUCCUGCCAGGAUGAGCAAGAGGCAGAUGAGGACGUGUAUUGCCGAUCGGGAUCGUCGCAGCCCGGUUGCUGAGUGCAUCAGUGCUCCUUGUCAUUGGCUCCCAUGGGGAUGGAUUUCAUGGGGACGCCAGUGCCGCAAGGGGCACCGUCGUCAACUGGAGCAAUGUUAGUAUUUUUUCUGCCAAUGUCGAGGGCGUAUAUUAAUUUUCACAAGUUACGUUUCACGAUGCUAAUGGGUUAACGAAGGGGUCAUCAUUAUUGCGGUGGGGGUUAGCCCGGCGGCUGGAGCCGCGGGUGUCUUGCCGGUUGCCGUCGUCAGGCGAACCGCGCUUCCGAUGCUUGUCGGAUUCAUCGUCAUGAUGACCUCGAGCCUGAUCCUUAUUUGAUGCCCGGGUAAUAUCUACGGCUGCCACAGUGGUUGCUGUGAGUUUUUACCAUGGAGGAGGCGAAGAUGGCUGAGUCCAAGGGCUCGGCACAUGGCAGCUUAUAUACCCGGUUGGGAGAGCUACAAGCGAUGACGCCGACCGAUGCAGUCAUUGCUCAGUACUGUGAAGAUUCUUUUCCUCAUGUGGCCUUGGAGAACUUGGACGAGAUCAGUGCUGCGACGGGGACCUCGACGGCGUCGGUGACGCGCUUUGUGCGCAAGCUGGGCUAUGCCAGCUUCCGUGACUUUUCGCGGAGCCUUCGUGAGGAGGUCGCCGCUAACUUUGACCUUCCUAGUGAUCGCACCACCAAUGACCCCACGACUGAUGAACCGGGAGCCAUGUGGCGUUCCAAGAUGGAAGCUGCCCGACGCAGCAUUGAUAUUGGUCUGAACUCUUUGGAUGGCGAAACAUUCGACCGAGUUGUUGAGUUGCUGCGCGACGAUUCCCGUCCGCUCUGCCUUGUCGCUGCUGCUACUGGGCAUGCUCUGCUUGACUAUUUCCGGUUAUUGGUGCGCUAUUACCGGCGUGACGUCAUCUUGUUGGAUUCGACUGAUCGGAUGGCCCAUCAGCUCAUUGACCUUCCCGACAACGCUAUCUUGUUGGCAUCUGUGUUCGACCGGCAUUCCCGGAUGGUUGAGUCGGUCUUGCGGCUCUUUCAUCAGCGCAACAUGACGACGGUGCUUCUGACGAACCGUUCUUCCACUCCGAUGCGUAGGUACGCUGACCACGUCUUGUUGGUGCCUUCGGAGUCUUCGACGGCGUUUCGGUCGAGGGCCUGCUAUCUCAUCUUGUUGGAAUCAUUGGUGGCUGCUUUAGCCCCGGCGGAUCACGAGGUCGAGCGUUUCCGGGUUGAGACGAUGCAGGGGCUGUUUGACGAACUCGGGGUUUUUAUUAUUCCGUGAUGUGUUCCGGUAUGUGGCCGGAUAUUCCUAUCGCAGAUCGCAGGUUCGGUCCUGCUCUGUCGACGGCUGCCAGGAUGCGGGGGAUGGCAUUCCUUCUCGGUGAGGCCGUCGCGGGAGCGCUCGAGGUCGGCUGCUAAGCGGGUGAACCUCAUGCCGAGGGUGGCGGCUCCGUAGUGGACCCACUGGCGGAUGUCGUCAUCGACACGGUGUCGGUGGCUUUGGCCUGGCCGGUGAUCUGGGCACCGGUUCCGGCCGGGAUCAUCCCGAUGGCACUCUGGGCUCGCGCCAGGGCAGCCUCAACAUCGAACCAGCUUUGAACCGUCGAUCGUUCCGACCAGAUCUGGUCCAUCUGCUUUGUGACGUAGCCGCGAUGGGUGAUCUGGUUGUCGAAGGAUCCGAACGCCAUUGUCUGUCACCUUUUAUAGCUGACUAUUUGUGUCAGUAAUUUUACAUCCCCGGGUGGGGUGCUUACCGGAGAGGCUUAACCUUUCCUGUGAAGAGGGUGUAUAGUGUUCGCCGUUAGCCCAAAAAGUGGGUUGAUGCCUAGGUGGUGUGGGGAAGUCGGUGAGAAUCCGACGCUGACCCGUAACCGUGACCACCAUUUGUGUGGGAGUCGGGGUACCAGAUCACGUGGGGGUGGUGUGGGGUUCCGUCGCGGGUUACGGGGUCGGCAUCGACGCGUGAACGUCUGUGUUGUCUGUGGAAUCCCCUGUAAGUUCCGACCUGCACGAAUGGAGUAACGAUUUCCCUACUGUCUCCACCAUGAACUCGGUGAAAUUGCAUUACGAGUAAAGAUGCUCGUUACGCGCAGCAGGACGGAGAGACCCCGGGACCUUUACUAUAGUUUGGUAUUGGUGAUUGGGACGGUUUGUGUAGGAUAGGUGGGAGACGUUGAUGCGGCCACGCUAGUGGUGGUGGAGUCGUUGGUGAAAUACCACUCUGAUUGUUCUGGUUAUCUCACUGUGGACCGUGAUCCGGUUCAAGGACAGUGCCUGAUGGGUAGUUUGACUGGGGCGGUCGCCUCCUAAAGGGUAACGGAGGCGCCCAAAGGUUCCCUCAGCCUGGUUGGUAAUCAGGUGGUGAGUGUAAGUGCACAAGGGGGCUUGACUGUGAGACUGACAGGUCGAGCAGGGACGAAAGUCGGGACUAGUGAUCUGACGGUGGCUUGUGGAUGCGCCGUCACUCAACGGAUAAAAGGUACCCCGGGGAUAACAGGCUGAUCUUGCCCGAGCGCUCAUAGCGACGGCAUGGUUUGGCACCUCGAUGUCGGCUCGUCGCAUCCUGGGGCUGGAGUCGGUCCCAAGGGUUGGGCUGUUCGCCCAUUAAAGCGGCACGCGAGCUGGGUUCAGAACGUCGUGAGACAGUUCGGUCCCUAUCCGCUGCGCGCGGAGGAAUCUUGAGAAGGGCUGUCUUUAGUACGAGAGGACCGAGACGGACUGACCUCUGGUGUGCCAGUUGUUCUGCCAAGAGCAUGGCUGGUUGGCUACGUCGGGUUGUGAUAACCGCUGAAAGCAUCUAAGCGGGAAGCACGCUUCAAGAUAAGGGUUCCCACAGGAGUGUUCCUGGUAAGGUCCCCGAGAGAUGAUCGGGUUGAUAGGCCAGACGUGGACGCAUCGUAAGGUGUGGAGCUGACUGGUACUAAUAGACCGAGGACUUUCAUUA